UCUUUGGCCGCCUCCAGGCACACCUCUCUGGGCUGGCACGAGGUCCGCUGGAUCUCCUCCAGGAUGACUGGAAACAUAUGGGAUUAGGUCUCAACGUGACCACGUCGAAGACAAGACUAAGAGGCUCCAGUGGCACGCAGACAUCUGCAGGCUGAUGGAAACAACGUUCCUCUCAUGGUGAAGUGUAGAGGCGACAAAUACCAGCGAAGCAGUUACCCUCAACUGUAAAAUAAAUUACGGGGAAGGCGGACGGACACAAGGAGGCCGACAGCGACGCGGAAGGAGGAAGAGGUGUGUCUGGGAAACUCUCCAUUGAGAAAACAUCCGAUUUUUGGGCCAGUCACUGCCGGCCUUUUCAAGGAUUAAAGACGCACCCCCCCUCCCUCCCUCCCCCCGUUCCUCCCCCGCACACACACACACACACAGCGGCAAGUGUCUGCUUGCAGCACGCUUUAUGUGUUGAAAUCCGAGCAAUCAAAGUCCACAUUCCAGUCAUUGCUUUCUCCAUUUCAUCAUGCGAGCCGGGAGCAAAGAAUUCGAGACGUUUAUCAGCUUGUAAUGGCGGGAUUCAUCCCGUUCAGUCGGAGUCGAUGGCACCAAGAGGCUUCAUCUGAUCGUUGUGUACGAUACAUGCAGCUUGCGCUAAAGUCGAGUGAGAAUAAAAAUAAUAGAAAAGAAACCUUGCGGAGCUUCUCAAAAUCAAGCAGUCGAACUAUUUGAGGUUCAUGCCUCAAACAAUUAUUCUAACGGCUCAUAUCAGAUUUUUCGCAGGAUAACUAAAGGAAUGGAAAGGUAUGUGUUGAAUCAUCACAUCCUAUGAAAGGGAAACUACACGUUGCACUUAUCCUGACGAGGUUACUCGUGCAUUUAUGACAACGAGGAGCUUUGUAGAAAUCCACUUGAAGGACCCACGACGGCCACCGUGCGUGUCUGGACUGGAACCAGGCGAGUCCUCUGAGCUCC
Pseudoliparis swirei is the source of this 963-nucleotide long non-coding RNA. RefSeq lists it as uncharacterized. NCBI's taxonomy places the organism in Eukaryota, Metazoa, Chordata, Actinopteri, Perciformes, Liparidae. The transcript has 3 exons. The record is from RefSeq and is a predicted model, not a curated record.